RNAcentral lists this long non-coding RNA (755 nucleotides) under Marmota monax (woodchuck). The record is from RNAcentral. Lineage: Eukaryota; Metazoa; Chordata; Mammalia; Rodentia; Sciuridae.
GCCAGGGGCAUGGACAGAGCCUUUUUCUAAAGAAAAAGACAAAAACUAAAAAAAAGAAAAAAAGGAAAAAGAAAAAAAAAGAAAUUAAUAUAUACGAAGAGUCCUGUGAGGCCUGGCUGGGUGAAGGGCACUGCUGAGCGUCCACUGGGCACCCUUCUAGGCCAGCUUCCUGCCUGGCGCCCCACCCCCACUUCUGGAGUCGCAGCUGUCCCACCUCCCCACCUACGGUGGGCACCGUUCCCCUUGUGCCCAGGGUGGGUGGGCAUGGUGUCCACCCUCGCCCCCUCCUGGUGCCCACCGUGGAUACUGCAUGAUGUGAACCAUGGUUUUGAACUCUGUUCCUGCCCCUCCCUGACAGCCCCACCCCAUGCCCACCGGUGCCAGCCGUGCCAUGGGCACCGUGGCGUGAGGCGGCCCUACCCAGCGCCCGCUGGGACGAGAAGCACAGACCUGCAAAGGACUCAUUUUUUUUCCUCCUCCGGCUCCCCGUCCCCGCCUGGCCAGGCCAGGCUGCCCCCGCCGACCCUGCUGGCCAUUUUGGGGGCAGCAAGGUGGCGCAGUUGUUUCUUGUGGUUGUGUGUGUUUGUUGUUCGGGUUUAAAAAAGGGAAAUUGAGACUGCAGGUGGGGGUGGGUCUGGGGGUCCCCCCAGUCCAGGAGAACCCUCCCUGUACCCGAGUCUCCUUCAUUGCCUGCCUCUGCUGUGAAAUACCUUGUUCUGUGUAUUAAACUGGGCCUGACCCCUCUGCCCACCACU